This 252-nucleotide ribosomal RNA is filed under the name uncultured bacterium. RNAcentral's name for it is "partial 16S ribosomal RNA". It matches the Rfam family "Bacterial small subunit ribosomal RNA", at positions 524 to 776 of the family's 1533-position model. The record is from RNAcentral.
UACGUAGGGUGCAAGCGUUGUCCGGAUUUAUUGGGCGUAAAGAGCUCGUAGGUGGCAAAGUAAGUCGGGAGUUAAACCGCUGGGCUUAACCCAGCGUUGCUACCGAUACUGCUUAGCUUGAGUAUGGCAGGGGAGAACGGAAUUCCACGUGUAGCGGUGAAAUGCGCAGAUAUGUGGAGGAACACCAAUGGCGAAGGCAGUUCUCUGGGCCAUUACUGACACUGAGGAGCGAAAGCGUGGGGAGCGAACAGG